This 253-nucleotide ribosomal RNA is filed under the name uncultured bacterium. Its description in RNAcentral is "partial 16S ribosomal RNA". It matches the Rfam family "Bacterial small subunit ribosomal RNA", at positions 524 to 776 of the family's 1533-position model. The record is from RNAcentral.
UACGAAGGGGGCUAGCGUUGCUCGGAAUCACUGGGCGUAAAGCGCACGUAGGCGGCUUUCUAAGUCAGGGGUGAAAUCCUGGAGCUCAACUCCAGAACUGCCUUUGAUACUGGGAAGCUCGAGUCCGGAAGAGGUGAGUGGAACUCCGAGUGUAGAGGUGAAAUUCGUAGAUAUUCGGAAGAACACCAGUGGCGAAGGCGGCUCACUGGUCCGGUACUGACGCUGAGGUGCGAAAGCGUGGGGAGCAAACGGG